AUUGAACGCUGGCGGCAGGCCUAACACAUGCAAGUCGAGCGCGAAAGGCUUUCGGGCUGAGUAGAGCGGCGGACGGGUGAGUAACGCGUAGGAAUCUACCUGGUAGUGGGGGACAACUUGGGGAAACUCAAGCUAAUACCGCAUACGCCCUAUGGGGGAAAGUGGGGGACCUUCGGGCCUCACGCUAUCAGAUGAGCCUGCGUAGGAUUAGCUAGUUGGUGAGGUAAAGGCUCACCAAGGCGACGAUCCUUAGCUGGUCUGAGAGGAUGAUCAGCCACACUGGGACUGAGACACGGCCCAGACUCCUACGGGAGGCAGCAGUGGGGAAUAUUGCGCAAUGGGGGCAACCCUGACGCAGCCAUGCCGCGUGUGUGAAGAAGGCCUCGGUUGUAAG
RNAcentral lists this ribosomal RNA (394 nucleotides) under uncultured bacterium. RNAcentral's name for it is "bacterial SSU rRNA". It matches the Rfam family "Bacterial small subunit ribosomal RNA", at positions 30 to 429 of the family's 1533-position model. The record is from RNAcentral.